UACGGAAGGGGCUAGCGUUGUUCGAAAUUACUGGGCGUAAAGCGCGCGUAGGCGGCUUGGCAAGUGAGGCGUGAAAGUCCUGGGCUCAACCUGGGGACGGCGCUUCAGACUGCUUGGCUUGAGUCCGGAAGAGGGUGGUGGAAUUCCGAGUGUAGAGGUGAAAUUCGUAGAUAUUCGGAGGAACACCGGUGGCGAAGGCGGCCACCUAGUCCGGAACUGACGCUGAAGUGCGAAAGCGUGGGGAGCAAACAGG
Molecule: ribosomal RNA, 253 nt
Filed under: uncultured bacterium
Lineage: Bacteria
Description: partial 16S ribosomal RNA
Rfam family: Bacterial small subunit ribosomal RNA
Source: RNAcentral